UCUGACUACUGAAAAGCUGGAAACUUGUCAUGUCCUCAUCUGAUCAGGUUCAGGUAGUUGGCCAACAGUGGAACCCUCAGCAAACAAAUGGAACAGUCUAAAAAUAAAAAACGAAAGGGAAGGGGAACGAAGGGGAAAAUCCACCACUGAAAGUGAGCAUAAUUAUAAUAUACUGAGUGAGUGAGAUAAAACUGUCUUUUUAAUGUGCUGCAUGUUUUACAAUCAUUACUGUGUUUUGCAUAAAAGUAUUCAUGAGGUUAGGCUAACAACAUGUUCUUAUUUUCUCUCUGAGCACUUUCAUCUGCCAACAAAAUCAAGUUCAGCUCCCUGCUCCAAUAUGCUUGAAUAGCUUGGGUCAUACUUUAUAACACCUUACCUACGCACAGCUGAUCAGGUUUGAAUAUCUACCCAACAGUGAGUAGGUCUCAUUCUGGCCUCUGUGAAACAAGACAGCAUCAUUCAGAGUCAUAGUUGCUGUUACUGAAGCAUGUCCAUUAAAUAAACAAAGCUUAUUAACCUUA
This is a long non-coding RNA of Thunnus maccoyii (southern bluefin tuna), 521 nucleotides long. RefSeq lists it as uncharacterized. The record is from RefSeq and is a predicted model, not a curated record. Lineage: Eukaryota; Metazoa; Chordata; Actinopteri; Scombriformes; Scombridae. The transcript has 2 exons.